GGGGAUGACAGGCUUCGACGGGCGAAGCUGACCUCGGAUUGCAAGCCGAGAGGUACCGACCUCGUAAAAUCAGUACAAACAAUAAGUGCCAAUCGCACAAACUUUGCUGCUAUGCCCCUCGCCGCUUAGCGACGACCGGUAAGCACAAAUGACGCUCUAAUCAGCGUCCGUCUGCCUGCUCCGUUCCUCAACCGGUAGUAGAGCGGGCGUAACAAGGUUGAGGUUGCCGUACAUCCCGCUGUGAGGUGUGCGAAAGAGGUCUUUCGGGAUCAAACAGCUGGCGCCUUUUUGUUUUUGGCUAUUUUACAAUUUGGCGUGAGACGAUAAAUAUCCUAAGCUUGUAGACAUCUGUGGUUUAAUCGUUCGGACGCGGGUUCGAUUCCCGCCAUCUCCACCU
Molecule: transfer-messenger RNA, 397 nt
Filed under: Anaerolineaceae
Lineage: Bacteria; Bacillati; Chloroflexota; Anaerolineae; Anaerolineales
Also listed under: 1 other name
Description: UBA6107 sp018060515 Standard tmRNA
Rfam family: transfer-messenger RNA
About the family: Bacterial tmRNA, also known as 10Sa RNA or SsrA, is named for its dual tRNA and mRNA-like properties.
Source: RNAcentral